GCCUUGCUAGCUCAAUCGGUAGAGCGUGUGACUCUUACUUUCUGUCCUUGUACAGUAUUAUAGUCAUCACAAGGUUGGGGGUUCGAGCCCCCCGUAGGGCU
Geotrichum reessii is the source of this 101-nucleotide non-coding RNA. Lineage: Eukaryota; Fungi; Ascomycota; Dipodascomycetes; Dipodascales; Dipodascaceae. The record is from the annotation of a GenBank genome assembly.